GACGAAGGGGGCUAGCGUUGUUCGGAAUUACUGGGCGUAAAGCGCGUGUAGGCGGUUAUUCAAGUCGGGUGUGAAAGCCUUGAGCUCAACUCAAGAAAUGCAUUCGGUACUGGGUGACUAGAGGACCGGAGAGGAUAGUGGAAUUCCCAGUGUAGUGGUGAAAUACGUAGAGAUUGGGAAGAACACCAGUGGCGAAAGCGACACGCUGGACCUUUUCUGACGCUGAGGCGCGAAAGCCAGGGGAGCAAACGGG
RNAcentral lists this ribosomal RNA (253 nucleotides) under uncultured bacterium. RNAcentral's name for it is "partial 16S ribosomal RNA". It matches the Rfam family "Bacterial small subunit ribosomal RNA", at positions 524 to 776 of the family's 1533-position model. The record is from RNAcentral.